Dermochelys coriacea (leatherback sea turtle) is the source of this 375-nucleotide long non-coding RNA. RefSeq lists it as uncharacterized. The record is from RefSeq and is a predicted model, not a curated record. The transcript is spliced from 3 exons. NCBI's taxonomy places the organism in Eukaryota, Metazoa, Chordata, Testudines, Dermochelyidae.
GAAGGAGGAGACAAAAUGGUGAUUUCUCUCAUAGAAGACAGUGAGAUAGGAACAGUGUGUUUGCCAGAAGCUUGCAUAUGGCAUGUUAGAGAAACAGAAGUGCUACCUUGUAUGGUGAUUUUUAGAGCAAUGAAGUCUGCAUAAAUCAACAAAGAACAUUCCAUUAAAGCUAUUUGGCAUGUCAGCAUUUUUCCUCGAUGGAUCUCAAAGCAUUUUACUAAGAUUGUUGCUGCACCCAAGGCUUGCAUACUUUAGUUCCUUUUCUGGAAGAAAGAGUAGUUCAGAAAUUCUGAACAGAUCUCACAAUGAACUACAGAGUUUGUUACAGAGAUAUACUAUGUCAAGCUCUAUAAAAUAAGAGAAUUAUAUUCUAUA